Long non-coding RNA from Dunckerocampus dactyliophorus (ringed pipefish), 1701 nucleotides. RefSeq lists it as uncharacterized. The transcript has 3 exons. Lineage: Eukaryota; Metazoa; Chordata; Actinopteri; Syngnathiformes; Syngnathidae. The record is from RefSeq and is a predicted model, not a curated record.
AUUUCACUGCAGCACACAACUUUCCGUGUGCAAGAGCUAUCAAUAAAACCACGUCUUGCAUGAACUGCAAGCUAGAUCCCGGGGUUCUUGAGUUGGGCGGAGCGACAGGACGUGCGCAGCUGUCGCUCAUUGACAUCACCCUUUUCAUACUCACCUGUGGCGACUGGAUGGCACAUGCAACCUAACCACUUGUGGAAACUUCAUCAGCACCGAAGGACCUGACUCAUUCUUUGGACGCUAUGACGACUGCAGCCUGCAGAAGGUGUAAUCGCACACACACACACACACACACACACACACACACACACACACACACACACACACACACACACUUUGAAGAGGGUGGGUUUUUGAAAGGUUCAGUCAGUGUACAUUAUUCUUGUGUGACGCCUGAAUGGAAUAUGUAAUUCUUUUAUAUGACGCAACCCCCGUAAUUUCCUUCAAUAAUCCUUUUUGCAGCAUAACAAGAUACUGUAGGCCUCUUUCUAAGUAGCCCAAUACUAAUAAUGAUUCUGACAGUGUUUCCCAUACAUUUGUUUAUUGGGCCGCCACUGACUCAUAAACACAUCAUAAUGGGACUGUCUGUGAAUGGAGCUUGUCGGGUCAGCUCCAUACAGGAGAUGGCAUUGUAACUCUGCUUUUCAACAUACCUCAACGCACCUGGUCUGCCAAAGAUUGAGACGACGCUACAGGAGGGAUCCGUGUUGCCAAUUUAGCGACUAAUAUUCAGACUAGCGACAAACUUCGCAACUUUUUCUGGUCUUAUGGGACACUUUUGGAGACUUAACAAGAAAGCACAUAGCAUUCUUUUCAACAAGCAGUGGGCGCUACAAGGACAAUGUCAUGAAGAUCUGAUAAUGAAGUUGUUAAGGGGAAGAAAAAAAAGAGUCAAAAGCUAAUGUUGCGAGUCUAAAGUUUAAUAAUAUGAGAUUAUUUGGGAUUUUACUGGAGUAAAGUUGCACUGUAUUUGUUCGACAAAAAGUCAUUAUAUUAAGAAUUACACUAAAAAAGACGUAAUGUUAGAAGAAUAAAGUCAUAAUAUUACGAAACCUUUAAAGCUGUUGAAGAAACUAAAGCCUUAACUACAUUUUUUUGCAAUAAAAAAAGUCAAAUGUUACGAGAACCAAGUCCUAAUGUUAUGAAAAGGGAGUCUUAAUAUCAUAAGAAUAAAAUUGUAGUUUUAAAGAAUAAUGUUGUGUAUAAAGUUUGAAUAUUAUGGGACAAAAAUCUAAAUUUUAUGAGAAUAAAGUUGUAAUGUUACACGAAAAAAGACUGAGAAUAAAGUUUUCAAAUGAUGAGAAAAAAGACUGAGAAACUAACGAGGCUUGGGCGUGACCCCUAAUAGCGCUAAGCCACGAGGGAGCGAGAUGAAGUGUAAACUGAACUGAGGAGCGAACAUACAGUAAAAGAUGACAGACCUGUGUAUAGAAUACCAGGUAAUAUCAGGAAAUGGGAAGGAAUAAACAAUCUGGUCGUAUACAGAGCUGUCAAGAAUUAACGCACACAAACAACAAACGUGAGAAAACGCAACCAGCUGGAUUAAAUAGCACCAUAACCGCUAAUAAGAGGCAGAUGUUUCCCGCUGCUACGCCGUAACUGAAGUCAAGGGGUGGAACUGAAAUAUAUAUAUAUAUAUAUAUAUAUAUAUAUAUAUAUUAUUAGAGUGAACAUUACAGUGUUUCGUCUAUACGUUGUGCCUUU